This is a long non-coding RNA of Amphiprion ocellaris (clown anemonefish), 4125 nucleotides long. RefSeq lists it as uncharacterized. The transcript is spliced from 2 exons. The record is from RefSeq and is a predicted model, not a curated record. NCBI's taxonomy places the organism in Eukaryota, Metazoa, Chordata, Actinopteri, Pomacentridae.
GGAAAGUUUGUGUCCGUGCUUUCUUUACUCAUUACUCCCCUUUUCAGAGAAAGGAAGAUUGGGGAGGCAGGCUUGGAGAAAAACAGAGUCCAAAUAUGAUUGAGGCAGACAGGAAGCAACAACAAGAAGUGGGAGAAAUCCAGGUGACAAACAGAGUCCAAGUGAGGAAAUCCAGGAGGGGGAAGUGGAGUCCAUUUAGGGGACAGAGUCUACAUGGACAUGUGAGUCUUUAUGAUCCAGCAGGGAGUGAAUGAAUGAACAGGGUUUAUAUAGUGGAGGUGUAACUGCAGACAGGUGAGGUCAACGGACCAAUCAGUGCAGCUGAUUCACAGAACUAAUGAGGACAGCAGGCAGGUGAGUGAGACAGACAGAAAGACAGACAGAGAUCAACAGGUGCAGACAGAGGAAGCCAGAGGGACCAGACAAGGACAGAGAGGAAACAUGGGACGAGAGAGACAAGAGGGACAGACAUGACAAACAGAGGAAGCCAAAGGAAGACAGAGACAGAGAGAAGAGGAGGAAGAAGGAGAGAAAUACAAAAGAGACAGAUGACAAAGACAGGAAGAAGAAGAGAGAAGGAAGAAAAGAGGAGGAAGGAGAAAGAAGGACAGUAGCUAGAACAGGAUCACAACACAAAUUUGCUGAAUGGAAGUGAACAUUUCUACAUCACUUUCAUCAUUUCAAGCCUAAUUCUGGACUUUUUUUCUAAUUCAGGUCAUUUUUCAUCUCUUUAUGUUGUUUUUUGUACCAUCUUGGUUAUUGUGUGUUUUUUUGGGGGGUUAUUUUGUUUGUUUAAACAUUGUUUUUGUUGGAAAUUGUUCAAUUUGUGGCUCAUUUUGAUCAUUUUGUCUCCAAUUUUGGUCAGUUUAUGUCUUUAGGGUUGUUCUUACGAGAAAUUUUGAUAAUUUUGUGCAUUUCAGCAUGUUUUUAAGAAUAAAAAAUGUUUAAAUCAGACUGUAAAUGAUAUUUGAACAAAGCUCUCUGUAGAAACCUGAGUAUUGAAUAGAAUAAAUGUAGACAGCUUGGUGAAUGUAAGUGAAGAUUUCUGGAUCACUUUGGUCAUUUUGAGACUCAUUUUGUGUCUCAUUUUGUGUCUCAUUUGUGUCAGUAUGUGUUUAAUUUAGGCCAGUUUACAUCUUUUGGUCUGUUUUUAAACAUUUUGCAUCUCUUUAUGUUGUUUUUUGUACCAUUUUGGUCAUUUUCUCAACUUAAUUGGAGUUAUUUAGCAUCUCUUUGUGUUCUUUUGGUAAAGUUUUGGUCAUUUUGUGUCUAAUUCAGGUGAUGUUUCAUCUCUUUAUGUUGUUUUUUGUACCAUUUUCAUCAUUUCAUGACUCAUUUCAUGUGUCUUUAAGGUUGUUUUUGUUUCAAAUUGUUCAUGUUGCUCAUAUUGGCCAUUUGUGUUUCAUUUUUCAUCUCUUUUUUUGGUCUGUUCUGCUCAUUUUAUCUCUCAUUUUGAUAAUUUUGCAUCAGUUUAAGGUUGCUUUUUUCAUUGUGGUCAUUUUGUUGCUAAUUUGGUCAUUUUGCGUUUAUUUAAGGUUGUUUUUGUUGCAUUUUGUUCAUUUUGUGUCUUCAUUUUUUGUUUUCCAUCUCAUUGUGUUGUUUUUGUUCCAUUUUGCUCAUUUUGUGGCUCAUUUAAAUCAUUUUGUGGUUCAUUUUUGUCAUGUUGUGUGUCUUUAAGGUUGUUUUUAUUUAAAAUUGUUCAAGUUGCUCAUUUUCUUCAUUUUUUUCUUUUUGGCCAUUUUUGUUUCACUCUGUAUCCUCUAUUUUUAUUUGUCUACUUUUAUCUCUCAUUUAUGUCAUUUUGCAUCACUUUAAGCUUGUUUUUGUUCCAUUUUGACAACUUUGUGUCUCAGUUUGAUCAUCUCUAAUCUCUCUUUGGGUUAUUUUUGUCACAUUUGUCCAUUUUGUUGUUGAUUUUGAUUGUUUUAUAGAUUAGAAUCAACUUUGCUGUCAUUGCACAAAGAACAAGUACUAAGACAGUAAAUGCAUUUUUUAAAAGUCCAUUGUGAUGUCAGUGAGAAGAACUCCUAACAACUGUUACCACAUUCCAUAUUCUGAAGAAAAACAUUGAAAGACUUGAGAAAGUCAGUUGAACACACAAACCUUGGAGAUAUUGGAGAGUUGUGGUCAAGAUUUCAAGUGUGAAACUUGUGAAGACAUUAUGAAGAAAGACUGUGAGAGAAAAAUGAAGCCUCCUCAGCCAGAUAGGAAACAUUCAGGUAAGACAGAAGUCCAGACAACGAGCUGCAACUCAGCCCCAAAUAUCAGCAAACUACACACUGACAUGUUACAUUGAAGUUUUCACAACACUGACAACCAACAUUUGCUCAUUUUGUGUCUCAUUGUGGCUCAUUUUGAUCAUUUUGUCUCUAACCUUGCUCUGUUUUUGUCUUUAGGAUUAUUUUUACUUGUCAUUUUUCUGCCUUUAAAACGUUUUUUGUUCCAUUUUGGUCAUUUUGUGUCUCAUUUAGAUCAUUUUGUGUCUCAUUUAGAUCAUUUUGUGUCUCAUUUAGAUCAUUUUGUGUCUCAUUUAGAUCAUUUUGUGUCUCAUUUAGAUCAUUUUGUGCGUCAUUUUGGACAUUUUGCAUCCAUUUAAGGUUUUUCUGUUCCAUUUUGUGUCUUAUUUUGUGCAUUUCAGUAUGUUUUUAGAGAAAGAAAGUUGUAUAAAUCAGAGUUUAAAUGAUAUAUGAACAAACCUCUCUGUAAAACCCUCAGAAUAUGGAAUAGAAUAAAUUUGGACAGUGGUGAAUGUAAGUGAAGAUUUCUAGAUCAGUUUUUUCAUUUCAAGGCUAAGUUUGGUCAUUUUUUAAUCUAAUUCAGGUCAUUUUUCAUCUCUUUAUGUUGUUUUUUGUACCAUCUUGGUUAUUGUGUCGUUUAUUUUGGAUGUUGUUUGUUUUUAAGGUUGUUUUUGUUUAAAAUUGUUCAGUUUGUGGUUCAUUUUGUUACUAAUUUUGGUCAGUUUAUGUCUUUAGGGUUGUUCUGACUAGAAAUUUUGAUAAUUUUGUUCAUUUCAGCAUGUUUUUAAGAAAAAAAAUGUUUAAAUCAGACUGUAAAUGAUAUUAAAUAGUAUUGAAUAGAAUAAAUGUAGACAGCUUGGUGAAUUUAAGUGAAGAUUUCUGGAUCAGUUUGGUCAUUUUGAGACUCAUUUUGCUCAUUUUGUGUCAUUAUGUGUUUAAUUUUGGUCAGUUUACAUCUUUUGGUCUGUUUUUAAACAUUUUGCAUCUUUUCAUGUUGUUUUUUGUACCAUUUUGGUCGUUUUCUUUGUCUUAAUUUUAGUUAUUUUGCAUCUCUUGGUGUUAUUUUCAUAAAAUUUUAGUCAUUUGAUGUGUAAUUCAGGUAAUGUCGCAUCUCUAUGUUGUUUUUUGUACCAUUUUGGUCAUUUUCAUUGUCUUAAUUUUAGUCAUUUUGCAUCAGUUUAAGGUUGCUUUUUUUUAUUUUGUCUCUGAUAGUAUGUGUUUUUCUGGGAUACGGGCUUUCCAUAUAUUUUCUUUAGCUCAAGAAUGUUAAACAGAAUGAAACCAUAUGUUGAAACGUUUAUUUUAGCUAUCAUCUGUCACAGGUUGACCUGUGGGUUAACCUAAAGGGACUAGGGACCUCCUGACUCCCUCUUUCUCUCUUUGUCCUUCGUACGCGAUGCAUCUUAAUGUAUGCCAGAUGUUGAAACCUAUAAAGAUCUAGUCAUUGUAACUCUCUUCAUUCAUUCACCGCAUGAUGCUUGAAUCAUGAGCUCGUCCGUAUUAAAUGUACUCUUAAUUUGAUCUACCUGUGUCAUCUCUUCAUUGAUGAACAUCCACCUUCAGAUCAACAUCAUUUCAGUCUCAUUUCCAUCAUUCAUCUUUCUCUGCUUCUUUCUCUGCAGAUUGCCAGGAUUUCUUAAAGAAGUGCCUCACGAUGGUCCCUGAACGUCGACCCAAACUGAUGGAGCUUCUGCAUCAUCCAUGGCUGAGAUAGAAACACCACUCAGACACAACACAAACAUCACAUGACACAUAAAGCCUUAAUUAUCCUUCAUAUUUUUUUUUUUAAAAGUAGAAGUCGUAUCCUCAUCUCUUCAAGGAGAGAUGACAAAAUCUCAAUCAAACCACCGCGUACUGGCAGCUGUAGAGAAUAUAAAGAUGAUAAAAC